ACGAACGCUGGCGGCGUGCUUAACACCUGCAAGUCGAACGGAAAGGCCUGCUUUCCCUUGUGGAUUGCGGGUACUCGAGUGGCGAACGGGUGAGUAACACGUGAGUGAUCUGCCCCCAACUUGGGUAUAAGCCUGGGAAACUGGGUCUAAUUCCCGAUAGGACUGCAGGGUGGUGCCUGUGGUGGAAAACGAUUUUCUAGUGGUUGGGGAUGAGCUCGCGGCCUAUCAGCUUGUUGGUGGGGUAAUGGCCUACCAAGGCGGCGACGGGUAGCCGGCCUGAGAGAGUGGACGGCCACAGUGGGACUGAGAUACUGCCCAGACUCCUACGGGAGGCAGCAGUGGGGAAUAUUGCACAAUGGGCGGAAGCCUGAUGCAGCGACGCCGCGUGGGGGAUGACGGCCUUCGGGUUGUAAACUCCUUUCGACCGCGAGGAAGCCACCUGGUUGGAAGGGUGGUGACGGUAGUGGUAGAAGAAGCACCGGCUAACUACGUG
This 493-nucleotide ribosomal RNA is filed under the name uncultured bacterium. RNAcentral's name for it is "partial 16S ribosomal RNA". It matches the Rfam family "Bacterial small subunit ribosomal RNA", at positions 29 to 507 of the family's 1533-position model. The record is from RNAcentral.